GGAGAUGUAGCUCAGUGGCAGAGCACUUGUCUGACUAACAUGAGUGAGACCCUGAGUUCCAUUCCCA
Molecule: transfer RNA, 67 nt
Filed under: Cavia porcellus (domestic guinea pig)
Lineage: Eukaryota; Metazoa; Chordata; Mammalia; Rodentia; Caviidae
Rfam family: tRNA
About the family: Transfer RNA (tRNA) molecules are approximately 80 nucleotides in length. Their secondary structure includes four short double-helical elements and three loops (D, anti-codon, and T loops). Further hydrogen bonds mediate the characteristic L-shaped molecular structure. tRNAs have two regions of fundamental functional importance: the anti-codon, which is responsible for specific mRNA codon recognition, and the 3' end, to which the tRNAs corresponding amino acid is attached (by aminoacyl-tRNA synthetases). tRNAs cope with the degeneracy of the genetic code in two manners: having more than one tRNA (with a specific anti-codon) for a particular amino acid; and 'wobble' base-pairing, i.e. permitting non-standard base-pairing at the 3rd anti-codon position.
Source: Rfam by way of RNAcentral